CUGGGUGUUCCAUCACCGGAACUGUGGAACUCCGAACCUCUACCCUCAUUUCGCUGGCAUUUGAAUGGGAUACUAUUAUCCUUCAUUAUCCUCUGUCCUCUCCACUCCCGUCCCUAUCAUCAGACGCAACAAGGUACAAUCUCUAAUUUCUACUUAUUUAUUUUUUAAUUUUUUUAUGCUCCUUAAUUUUGGUAGAAACCAUACAUAUAAUACCUUCUUAUCUUGUGUUUGUCAGUUCAAUUUAAUUUUUUUAUUGAAAAUUGAUCAGUUGAAAUUACUCAAGUACUGAGCUAAAAUGGUGCUGAAAGUGAAGGCUAUGUUUGGAAUUGGAAAGAUAUAGGGUAAGGAAAGGAAGAUGAGAGCUUGAUCAACAGUCCAUUCCACUUCUUUUUAGCAUUGAAUUUUUUAUCAGACUUGGGUAGUUGGGUUUAAUUUUUAUUUACUUUAUUCCUAGCAUUAUCCCUUCUCAAAUAAAGCCUUGAACUUUAUGAUUUUUAAGUGGUGGACAAUCAAUUGAUAUUAUCAGAAAUUUAUGUUAUGAUUUUGAUAAUACCAAAUGAUAAGUACAGUGACGACUGGAAGCUUUAGUCUCAUGCAUUUCCUUGUAGUGAUAAAACUGUAAGAAAAUUUUAGUCAGAAGAAAAUUUAAAAUUUUAUCACAUACUUGGUCUUUAUUUCUCACUACAAGUAGGUGAUACUGUUAGCUUUAUUUCUCUCUGAAACAUGUAUAAGUGUGAAUACAAUUUGGUUUGAAUUAUUCUCAGAAUUGCGCAGAAUUGAGACCAACCCAAGCUUUUACACAAGGAUUUCAUCAAUUGAGGGUUUUGACUCUCAAGGCAAUGCAUGAGACUAAGGCUUCCACAAUGAUAAGUGAAUGCUUUAAGCAAAGAAUCCCUCAUGUUUUGACUGUCGCUG
This 915-nucleotide long non-coding RNA is filed under the name Panax ginseng (ginseng). RNAcentral describes it as "long non-coding RNA (PGIN_LNC011774)". The record is from RNAcentral. Lineage: Eukaryota; Viridiplantae; Streptophyta; Magnoliopsida; Apiales; Araliaceae.